Molecule: transfer RNA, 64 nt
Organism: Cavia porcellus (domestic guinea pig)
Lineage: Eukaryota; Metazoa; Chordata; Mammalia; Rodentia; Caviidae
Rfam family: tRNA
About the family: Transfer RNA (tRNA) molecules are approximately 80 nucleotides in length. Their secondary structure includes four short double-helical elements and three loops (D, anti-codon, and T loops).
Source: Rfam
GGGGAUUUAGCUCAGUGGCAUAAGCACCUGCCUUGCAAGCAGGAGGUCAUGAGUUCGAUCCCCG